Molecule: long non-coding RNA, 557 nt
Organism: Dreissena polymorpha
Lineage: Eukaryota; Metazoa; Mollusca; Bivalvia; Myida; Dreissenidae
Exons: 3
Source: RefSeq, a predicted model, not a curated record
UCCAUAUAUGACGUGUUUGACGUUGUUUCCAUUUAAAUCCGAAUACUCUAAAGCGCUGUCGUUUUAUUUCGCUGCAAUUCUAGUUAAACAUGCCUACACUGAAGGAGAUUAAAGAUCGUGUGAUCAAAUACGUAAUGUUUUGUGUGACGGUACCGCCGCGACGUAGACGGGGCUCUGCCAUUGUUAUACCUGGAAACGUUGCCGUAUUCCCUUGCAGUGGCCCUUGCACUGCCUGUUGCUCCUGUUUUUGCCCCUGCUGCAGUCGGAAUUGUGCGGCCUCCAGCGCUCUUUAACCCCGGGCCCGGGGGCGACUGCAUUGAUACUCAGAUCGAUUGGGAACUCGACGAGGAACCCAGAGAAAGAAUUCCACGCAGACUAAGACACCUGUCUAAAGAACAGAAAGCUGCAUAUCCGGAAUAUCUCCGCCAUGUCCGCCGUCUCACCAUCUCGAUGGAAGACAACGUCAUCUUAGAGAGCGUCUGCCGCCAUUACGAUGACAAGGGCGAGAGCUAUGGCAUUGCCUUGUUUGCCGAUCAUUGAAUACACAAUAAAAUAAU